Molecule: non-coding RNA, 294 nt
Organism: Paramisgurnus dabryanus
Lineage: Eukaryota; Metazoa; Chordata; Actinopteri; Cypriniformes; Cobitidae
Source: RefSeq, a predicted model, not a curated record
CACAAGUCAAAUGGAUAUUUACCGCGUGCGCAAGUCUCAAGUCUGAACCUUCAAGUCUCAAUUGUGUGAUUGCAGUACCAGUUUUGAGACACCCCUCGCUGCAGACUGUAGCGCGAUGACAUCACGUACUGACGUCAGAUGCAUGUUUCUGGAUACUGGAAGGCGUAACUUACAGAAAACAGUCACCAAGUACAGUCCAGCUAAGCCAGGAAACCGGACCAGAGAAUGAAUUGAUGCCAUCUGUUUGAACCACAGUGCUCAUUUGGAAGGCUUCCUUGAGGACUGCUUCAGGAU